CCUCGGCCCGGUUCAAGUAAUCCAGGAUAGGCUGUUCCAGCCCGGCCUGUUCCCGGUUACUUGUCCCGGGAGGCGG
This 76-nucleotide microRNA precursor is filed under the name Patagioenas fasciata monilis. RNAcentral describes it as "mir-26 microRNA precursor family". It matches the Rfam family "mir-26 microRNA precursor family". Rfam says of the family: The hairpin precursors (represented here) are predicted based on base pairing and cross-species conservation -- their extents are not known. The record is from Rfam by way of RNAcentral. RNAcentral also lists the same sequence under 1 other name. Lineage: Eukaryota; Metazoa; Chordata; Aves; Columbiformes; Columbidae.